UUUUUGGAGAGUUUGAUCUUGGCUCAGGACGAACGCUGGCGGCGUGCCUAAUACAUGCAAGUCGAGCGCUGGAAGCUAAUUUCAU
RNAcentral lists this ribosomal RNA (85 nucleotides) under Bacilli bacterium. RNAcentral describes it as "partial 16S ribosomal RNA". It matches the Rfam family "Bacterial small subunit ribosomal RNA", at positions 1 to 88 of the family's 1533-position model. Lineage: Bacteria; Bacillati; Bacillota; Bacilli. The record is from RNAcentral.